RNAcentral lists this long non-coding RNA (1177 nucleotides) under Pan troglodytes (chimpanzee). Its description in RNAcentral is "long non-coding RNA NONPTRT005491". Lineage: Eukaryota; Metazoa; Chordata; Mammalia; Primates; Hominidae. The record is from RNAcentral.
ACCCAGACUAAAAGGCAGUUUGAUUUUACAAAUCAAAAUAGCAGUAAUCUAUGGAGAUUUACUUGUGAGAUUGGUAGGAAACAUCUUAAAUGUAAUCAAACAAUAACUUACAUCUUGAUGAAUUCACGUGUAGGUUUCUCUUCCUCAGAAGAAAUCAGAUGCUGUUCAGAGCACCAAGGCUAGAAUUUUACCCUGGUUCUCAUGCUACCUUGCACCCAGGUUGGAUCCUGAGUACAGUUUUUGGCAGGUGGGCCUGCAUAUAAGUUAGCAAUGGGGGAUACCCAGCUGCCUCUCUUCAUACAGCUGAGGUUUUGGGGAGUCAUUCUUGUAGCCCCUGGGUUGGGCCUAGUCCUGCAAAUGAAUUCACCAGCCCUAAAGCCCAAAUUGCAGCCUCUGUCAUUCACCUUCCAGGAGUGGAAAGGGCAGUAAGUUUCAUCUUAUUAUUAUUGCUAUUUUGGUGGUUUUGUUGAGGUUGGUGUGUGUAUGUCAGUAAGAUAAAGCUCUCAGAAAUUACAUAGCAUUUGUCAAGGAUAUAAGAGGGACUGUGCCACAUCUGGCUGUAUAGAAGGUGGUUCCAUAUCUUUAAAUAGAGCCCCAGGUCCUUAGCCACCAGAAAGGUUUUCAGGGGAAGUGUGCACCCUCAGCAGCUGCUGCUGGUGAGCAGCAUGGGCACACAUGGAACAGGCUUUCCUCUGUGGCCAGGUGAGAAGCAGGUGGUGAGACACAGAGCAGUGCUGGGCUCUGCUUCUGAAGCCUCCAACCUUUCCUUCCCUAGGAAGCCCCAGAGAGAUUGGUGAGGGUGAUUUCCCAGGAAGACGCAGUGUGCUCUGACUUCUGUGACAGUGAGCAACGGGACCAGUGGAUGUCCAGAUGCUGGCAAUGAGACAUACUCUGGAGUCAGAAGACAGCGAAAAGAGAAGCAGAAGCCCCGGUGGCAAGAGUCUGAAGGAAGGAUGACUGUAGCCUGUGGAUUGUACUGCAGUAGGAAACUGUCCUAGCAAGGCUCCACCUUGCCCCAGCUUCAAGCUGGAAAGGAGGAGAACAUGAAACAUUGCUUGAAGACAAUGGCCGAGACAGCAGGUCCCACCCUGCACAGCCAACAGCAUCUCUCCCCUCAGCCCUGUCUCCUCUUCUGCAGUUGGGAUCUGCACAUUUAAGCCUGAAGUAAGAAUAAAAC